This 549-nucleotide ribosomal RNA is filed under the name uncultured Glomus. RNAcentral describes it as "SSU rRNA". It matches the Rfam family "Eukaryotic small subunit ribosomal RNA", at positions 548 to 1098 of the family's 1831-position model. Lineage: Eukaryota; Fungi; Glomeromycota; Glomeromycetes; Glomerales; Glomeraceae. The record is from RNAcentral.
UUGGAGGGCAAGUCUGGUGCCAGCAGCCGCGGUAAUUCCAGCUCCAAUAGCGUAUAUUAAAGUUGUUGCAGUUAAAAAGCUCGUAGUUGAACUUCGGAAUCAAUGGAUUGGUCAUGCCGUUGGUAUGUACUGGUCAUAUUGGUUCUCACCUUCUAAGGAACCAUAAUGUCAUUCAUUUGAUGUUUUGGGGAAUUAGGACUGUUACCUUGAAAAAAUUAGAGUGUUUAAAGCAGGCUAACGCUUGAAUACAUUAGCAUGGAAUAAUGAAAUAGGACAUCGCAUUCUAUUUUGUUGGUUUCUAGGAUCGAUGUAAUGAUUAAUAGGGAUAGUUGGGGGCAUUAGUAUUCAAUUGUCAGAGGUGAAAUUCUUGGAUUUAUUGAAGACUAACUACUGCGAAAGCAUUUGCCAAGGAUGUUUUCAUUAAUCAAGAACGAAAGUUAGGGGAUCGAAGACGAUCAGAUACCGUCGUAGUCUUAACCAUAAACUAUGCCGACUAGGGAUCGGAUGAUGUUAAUUUUUUAAUGACUCAUUCGGCACCUUACGGGAAAC